GGGGCCGUGGUCUAGCGGUCAUGACGCCGCCCUUACGCGGCGGAGGUCGCCGGUUCGAGUCCGGCCGGCCCCA
RNAcentral lists this transfer RNA (73 nucleotides) under Nitrososphaerota archaeon. Its description in RNAcentral is "tRNA-Val". It matches the Rfam family "tRNA". From Rfam's summary of the family: Transfer RNA (tRNA) molecules are approximately 80 nucleotides in length. RNAcentral also lists the same sequence under 3 other names. Lineage: Archaea; Thermoproteati; Nitrososphaerota. The record is from RNAcentral.